UAGGGAAUAUUGCACAAUGGGGGAAACCCUGAUGCAGCAACGCCGCGUGAGUGAUGAAGGCCUUCGGGUUGUAAAGCUCUGUCGUGAGGGAAAAAUAAAUUGAUGGUACUUCACAAGAAAGGACCGGCUAACUUCGUGCCAGCAGCCGCGGUAAGACGAGGGGGUCCUAGCGUUGUUCGGAAUCAUUGGGCGUAAAGCGUAUGUAGGCGGCUUAAACAGUCAGGUGUGAAAGCCCUGGGCUCAACCUAGGAAGUGCACUUGAUACUAUUAAGCUAGAGUAUUGGAGAGGGCAGUGGAAUUCCUGGUGUAGUGGUGAAAUACGUAGAUAUCAGGAGGAACACCGGUGGCGAAGGCGGCUGCCUGGCCAAAUACUGACGCUGAGAUACGAAAGCGUGGGGAGCAAACAGGAUUAGAUACCCAGGUAGUCCCUGAGCGGGCUGGCAAGGCGCAU
This 451-nucleotide ribosomal RNA is filed under the name uncultured bacterium. RNAcentral's name for it is "bacterial SSU rRNA". It matches the Rfam family "Bacterial small subunit ribosomal RNA", at positions 355 to 825 of the family's 1533-position model. The record is from RNAcentral.